This 254-nucleotide ribosomal RNA is filed under the name uncultured bacterium. RNAcentral describes it as "partial 16S ribosomal RNA". It matches the Rfam family "Bacterial small subunit ribosomal RNA", at positions 524 to 776 of the family's 1533-position model. The record is from RNAcentral.
UACGUAGGGUGCGAGCGUUAAUCGGAAUUACUGGGCGUAAAGCGCACGUAGUCGGCUUUGCAAGUCGGGUGUGAAAUCCCCGGGCUCAACCUGGGAACUGCAUCCGAGACUGCAUUGCUAGAGUAUGGGGAGAGGGAAGCGGAAUUUCUGGUGUAGCAGUGAAAUGCGUAGAUAUCAGAAGGAACAUCAGUGGCGAAGGCGGCUUCCUGGACCAAUACUGACGAUCAGGUGCGAAAGCGUGGGGAGCAAACAGG